RNAcentral lists this ribosomal RNA (545 nucleotides) under Salmonella enterica subsp. enterica serovar Virchow. RNAcentral's name for it is "partial 23S ribosomal RNA". It matches the Rfam family "Bacterial large subunit ribosomal RNA", at positions 711 to 1252 of the family's 2925-position model. Lineage: Bacteria; Pseudomonadati; Pseudomonadota; Gammaproteobacteria; Enterobacterales; Enterobacteriaceae. The record is from RNAcentral. RNAcentral also lists the same sequence under 2 other names.
AGACCCGAAACCCGGUGAUCUAGCCAUGGGCAGGUUGAAGGUUGGGUAACACUAACUGGAGGACCGAACCGACUAAUGUUGAAAAAUUAGCGGAUGACCUGUGGCUGGGGGUGAAAGGCCAAUCAAACCGGGAGAUAGCUGGUUCUCCCCGAAAGCUAUUUAGGUAGCGCCUCGUGAAUUCAUCUCCGGGGGUAGAGCACUGUUUCGGCUAGGGGGCCAUCCCGGCUUACCAACCCGAUGCAAACUGCGAAUACCGGAGAAUGUUAUCACGGGAGACACACGGCGGGUGCUAACGUCCGUCGUGAAGAGGGAAACAACCCAGACCGCCAGCUAAGGUCCCAAAGUCAUGGUUAAGUGGGAAACGAUGUGGGAAGGCCCAGACAGCCAGGAUGUUGGCUUAGAAGCAGCCAUCAUUUAAAGAAAGCGUAAUAGCUCACUGGUCGAGUCGGCCUGCGCGGAAGAUGUAACGGGGCUAAACCAUGCACCGAAGCUGCGGCAGCGACACUCAGGUGUUGUUGGGUAGGGGAGCGUUCUGUAAGCCUGUG